RNAcentral lists this transfer-messenger RNA (436 nucleotides) under Parachlamydiaceae bacterium. It matches the Rfam family "transfer-messenger RNA". Rfam says of the family: Bacterial tmRNA, also known as 10Sa RNA or SsrA, is named for its dual tRNA and mRNA-like properties. Its role is to liberate the mRNA from a stalled ribosome. Lineage: Bacteria; Pseudomonadati; Chlamydiota; Chlamydiia; Parachlamydiales; Parachlamydiaceae. The record is from RNAcentral.
GGGGGUGUAAAGGUUUCGACUAGGAAGUGAAAAAUUGAUUGCAUGCAGAGGACGUCGGUUGGCCUCUUUAAUCAUCCGAUAAUAUUUUUUAAAUGGCAUCACAGCCAAAAAAGCAACAAUUUACGAUUUCCCUGCAAAUGAACAUGUUUCAAAUGCACAAGGUUUCCUAGCUGUUGCUUAAGCUUUUUAAGACCUAACAGUCUUAAUAGCGCGAUAGUCUUAGAUUAGACCAAGGAUCUAGGAGUCUAUCGCAUUAUUGAUCUUGGUGUGGAAUAAAUUCCGACUGUUUUUAGGAAUUUAUUUCGAGAUUAAAUAAAACAAACCAACUUUAGUGUCUGCAUUCUGCAUCGAAGUUGGUAUUUUCAGAAUGCUAAGCAUGUAGUAGUCAAUUCGUAGUUUGCCAAGGACGAGAGUUCGAUUCUCUCCACCUCCAAAA